RNAcentral lists this long non-coding RNA (680 nucleotides) under Salvia miltiorrhiza (redroot sage). RNAcentral's name for it is "long non-coding RNA (SMIL_LNC009099)". Lineage: Eukaryota; Viridiplantae; Streptophyta; Magnoliopsida; Lamiales; Lamiaceae. The record is from RNAcentral.
CGACCGAAAAAUGACCGAACCGAUCGGUUUUCGGUCGGUUUUUUUGUACUGGGCGGUCGGUUCGGCCCAAAAUAUGCAGAAAUUUUGAUUUGGUCGGUCGGUUCGGUUUUCUCAAUUUUGGCCGGUCGAAAACCGAACCGACCGACCAUAAUGUAAAGUACUAGGGUUUUUUUUUCCCCACUAAUUAUCCUUCUCUCCCUAACGGACCUAACCUAAUUCUUCUCCAGUUUCCUCUCACUGCGCCGCACCCCGCACGCCCUCAGCGCCAGACCCCGCACGCCCUCCCCCCCAUUCCUAACCCUACCCGGCUCACCCCUACGGACAACCACCGGCCGGCGAAUCCGAAGCCCAGCCCAGUCCGAGGCCGCGCCGAACAGCAGCCUGGAACUCGCAGCCCUCGCCGCGAAGAAGCCCACAGCCGUCGUCGCCGCGCCCAGCCCGCAGCCGUCGUCGUCCAGAACACAGGUGAGUUUCUGUAAUUCCGUUUAGUUUAGUUUUUGUUGAAUGUUAAGAAAUGAAAAUGGGGACAAAUUUGAUAGUUUAGUUGGAAGAUUGUUGUUAGUUUUCGGCCGGUUCGGUUCGGUCGGCCGAAAACCGACAAUUGGCCGGUUCGGUUUUCGGCCGGUUUGAAUGUGGAGUUUUGGUCGGUCGGCCUGAAUUUUUGUGGACCGGUCGGUCGG